This is a long non-coding RNA of Onychomys torridus (southern grasshopper mouse), 848 nucleotides long. RefSeq lists it as uncharacterized. Lineage: Eukaryota; Metazoa; Chordata; Mammalia; Rodentia; Cricetidae. The record is from RefSeq and is a predicted model, not a curated record. The transcript has 3 exons.
AACCUGACCACCAAAUUAAGGUUUAAGUGAAAUAUUGUAUGUGAAGAAUUGAAAGCAUUAUUUGUGAUGUUGGGAUAAACACAAAUUCAUCUUAUUCUUGCCAAGGGUGGCCCUUUAAUAUCCUAAAAAUAUGUUCCCCCAUGCAGUCACUUUGAUAUUAAUUUAUUUAGGAUUUUUUCCUGAGGAUGAAAUUACUUCCAUAAAUACAAUUAGUUAAGUACUGGCCCACUAUGCCUUGUUUACAUUUUAAGAAAAAAUUGAGUCAAAUUUUAAAAUAUUUCUAUGGGGGAAAAGUUGAAUCAUGUAAUGAAUUUUGGAGGGUGAGGAAGAUCUGGGUAAUUCUCGGUUGCUUAUCUAAUUAUAAUCUUUCCAUUUGAGAGGCUAUAAGCAAUGAGCAUUCAGUUUUCACCCAUGUAAAGUCUAGCUGGUAGAGGUAUUGGGGGACAAGGGAACAGUAGCCGAGAGCUGCUCCCCACUGUCACGGGGCUGGCGUGGUUACCAAGUUCACAGACCUGUUUGUUCUGAACAGUCUUCUGCAAUCUUCAAGACAUAAUCAUUGAGAAGCGAACAGUGUUGCGGAACUCUCCAGAAAGAAACAGGACAUGCAGUUUGUUAAAAGUAAAAUCCCAGUCUCUCACAUCAGGGAAGUGGCUCAUGCUGUGUGGUCACAGGCGCAGGUUCCUUCUGCUCAUGGACUCUUCCAUCAGGAGAGAACUGUGUCUGCAUGCCCUUUCUUUCCCAGAUGCAAAUCUGAUUUCUUUCUACACUGACCACGGGCAUUUCUACCACCUAGGUUCUGACAUGAGAAGAAUGCUGUCAGUUUGAGGAUUGCGAGUGUGUAAUAGCCC